This 491-nucleotide ribosomal RNA is filed under the name uncultured bacterium. RNAcentral describes it as "bacterial SSU rRNA". It matches the Rfam family "Bacterial small subunit ribosomal RNA", at positions 28 to 523 of the family's 1533-position model. The record is from RNAcentral.
GAUGAACGCUAGCGGAAGGCUUAAUACAUGCAAGUCGAGCGGUAGGUGGCUUCGGCCAUUGAGAGCGGCGCACGGGUGAGUAACGCGUACAUGACCUGCCUGUCAGAAGGGGAUAGCCCUGGGAAACUGGGAUUAAUACCCUAUGGUAUUGAUAUUAUGAAUGAUAUCAAUUAAAGUUGAGGCGCUGACAGAUGGAUGUGCGUCUGAUUAGCUAGUUGGUAGGGUAACGGCCUACCAAGGCGACGAUCAGUAGGGGCGUGAGAGCGUGGUCCCCCACACGGGUACUGAGACACGGACCCGACUCCUACGGGAGGCAGCAGUAAGGAAUAUUGGUCAAUGCCCGCAAGGGUGAACCAGCCAUUCCGCGUGGAGGAUGAAGGCCCUAUGGGUUGUAAACUUCUUUUAGAUGGGAAGAAAAUGCUAGAUGUAUCUGGUACUGACGGUACCAUCAGAAUAAGCACCGGCUAACUCCGUGCCCAGCAGCCGGGUAA